Molecule: ribosomal RNA, 200 nt
Filed under: uncultured bacterium
Lineage: Bacteria
Description: partial 16S ribosomal RNA
Rfam family: Bacterial small subunit ribosomal RNA
Source: RNAcentral
GAUGAACGCUAGCGGCAGGCUUAAUACAUGCAAGGCGAGGGGGCAGCAAUGUCACCGUCGUACGGGUGCGUAACGCGUAUGCAACCUACCUUCAACUGGGGGAUAGCCCGGGGAAACCCGGAUUAAUACCGCAUAAUACAUAUGAAUCACCUGAUUUAUUUUGUUAAAGAUUUAUUGGUUGAAGAUGGGCAUGCGUUCGA